CAAGUAGUAAGUUCUGUUUGACAUUUGCACUGGUAAUGGUAUGGCUCCUGAGAUCAUGACUACUUGUAUAAGAAUCAGAGCUGCAAAACACCAGAUGAAUGAAGAGUGCAAGCUCUGCAAUGCUUUAUCCUGGCCAGCCAAGCAUCCAGGAGGAGUAUAAGUUAUCUGCAUGGCUGAUUAAAUGGAAAUUCUGCAGUCCAGGUGAGGGAUCUCUGAGUGUCCUCAACAAGAAGCACAGUACCCAAUGACCUGUGAUGGCCACGGCUACUGGACCCAUGAUGGAAACGUAAGUUGACAGCAGGGCUUAAAAAAAUAUUCAGCUGUUGUAUAUCUAACAUAUCUAACUUGCAAAGUAUUUCAGUAAUCAAUUUGGUGUAUUAUACUUGUGUAAACACUGACUGUACAAGAAAGUUACUAGG
This 419-nucleotide long non-coding RNA is filed under the name Junco hyemalis (dark-eyed junco). RNAcentral describes it as "lncRNA (ENSJHYG00000010503.1)". The record is from RNAcentral. Lineage: Eukaryota; Metazoa; Chordata; Aves; Passeriformes; Passerellidae.